CACCCUUCCAUCUCUUCCUUCAUCUUAAAAAUCUUUCCUUUAAUUUCAACAGUGCUGCCUGGGUUUGUCAUUUCAGGGGUUGGGCAUGUUCCAGGAUCUGUCUAUAGACUUCUCUCAGGAGGAAUGGGAGUGCCUGGACGCUGCUCAGAAGGACUGAUACAGAGAUGUAAUGAUGGAGAACUAUAGCAGCCUGGUCUCACUAGGUCUCUCUAUCCCAAAGCCUGAUGUGAUUUCCUUACUGGAGCAAGGGAAAGAGCCCUGGAUGGUUUCAAGGGACGUACCGGGAGGAUGGUGCCCAGAGUCUCACUCUGUAGCCCGGGCUGGAGUGCAGUGCGCGACCUCGUCUCACUGAAAGCCAAUAAGAAGAGCUUGGGGAUGACCUCCCUACAAGCACAGCAAAACCUUUCCUGCGCAUUUCUGCGCUGGAACGCCUACGCGCCUCGCCAAACCAAAACUUUACUACCACCCUUAGUGCCGUUUCCUGCACUUUCUUGGAGAGUUGUACCAGGUGCUGGAGACCCUCCCACCUGGUCCAUGCCCGCCUCCCGGUGAGCACCGAGACACAAACUUGUGCACUGCCAGUCUUGUUAUCAACAAACAGGCUAGUAAAUUAUAAAAAAUAAAAUAAAGGAAAUG
RNAcentral lists this long non-coding RNA (636 nucleotides) under Homo sapiens (human). RNAcentral's name for it is "HSALNT0352277". Lineage: Eukaryota; Metazoa; Chordata; Mammalia; Primates; Hominidae. The record is from RNAcentral.